CUUUUUGCUGUCAAUCGAUUUCCUACCUGACUGUGAAUGCGACCAAUAUUAUUCAGUUUGUUUCUGGAGCCCAAACAGGAAUCACCUCCGGACUGAAGCUCCAAAUUCUCUGUGAUUUUUCGGUUUACUAAAAAAUUUUAAUUUUCCGGCUAGGCUUAAGAAUAAAGUGAAUUAUAUUUUAAGCAUAAAACCAAGACAAAACACCAUAAACAUCCUUAUACUCGCGAAUUAUAUUUAAAGCAUAUAACUCGAGAUAAACAACCAGUUGACCAGAUAAAUACAACAUAAGAUUAUACACGUAAUUGCUUCGGAGAAGUUGGCAUCUCGUGAAGCGGUUCAAUACACCCUAGGUUUAAGUGAUUUUUGCUCUACACUCUGGAACAACCAUAUGACUAAUCUUCGUACACUACUGAGUAACCUGAUGCAAGAAUUAUACUUUUAGUAUAAAACCCAAACUGAACGAGUUGACCAGAUAAAUACAACAUAAACUUAUACACGGGGAAGGUGGCAUCUCGUAAAGCGGUUCAAUUCACCCACAUGACUUAUCUUCGUACACUUCUGAGUAACCUGGUGCAAGGUCCCCUCUCUCUCCUGUAGUCUAUUGAUCAAAAAUGGCACAUUUAAGACUUAAUUACUGGAUUCUUGGAAACGUUACUGUUUAAUCACACUUCUCAAUCCUCGCUUGUUGGAUCUCACUGGAGAAAUAUAUAAUACUAAAAUGUUUGAUGCUAUAAUAAAUGUACACUUAUACA
Molecule: long non-coding RNA, 752 nt
Organism: Drosophila gunungcola (fruit fly)
Lineage: Eukaryota; Metazoa; Arthropoda; Insecta; Diptera; Drosophilidae
Exons: 4
Source: RefSeq, a predicted model, not a curated record